Molecule: ribosomal RNA, 509 nt
Filed under: uncultured bacterium
Lineage: Bacteria
Description: bacterial SSU rRNA
Rfam family: Bacterial small subunit ribosomal RNA
Source: RNAcentral
CUACGUGCCAGCAGCCGCGGUAAUACGUAGGUGGCAAGCGUUGUCCGGAAUUAUUGGGCGUAAAGCGCGCGCAGGCGGAUCUGCCAGUCUGUCUUAAAAGUUCGGGGCUUAACCCCGUGAUGGGAUGGAAACUGCCAAUCUAGAGUAUCGGAGAGGAAAGUGGAAUUCCUAGUGUAGCGGUGAAAUGCGUAGAUAUUAGGAAGAACACCAGUGGCGAAGGCGACUUUCUGGACGAAAACUGACGCUGAGGCGCGAAAGCCAGGGGAGCGAACGGGAUUAGAUACCCCGGUAGUCCUGGCCGUAAACGAUGGGUACUAGGUGUAGGAGGUAUCGACCCCUUCUGUGCCGGAGUUAACGCAAUAAGUACCCCGCCUGGGGAGUACGACCGCAAGGUUGAAACUCAAAGGAAUUGACGGGGGCCCGCACAAGCGGUGGAGUAUGUGGUUUAAUUCGACGCAACGCGAAGAACCUUACCAGGUCUUGACAUUGAUGGACAGAACUAGAGAUAG